This 496-nucleotide ribosomal RNA is filed under the name uncultured bacterium. RNAcentral's name for it is "partial 16S ribosomal RNA". It matches the Rfam family "Bacterial small subunit ribosomal RNA", at positions 28 to 506 of the family's 1533-position model. The record is from RNAcentral.
GAUGAACGCUGGCGGCGUGCCUAAUACAUGCAAGUCGAGCGAACAGACGAGGAGCUUGCUCCUCUGACGUUAGCGGCGGACGGGUGAGUAACACGUGGAUAACCUACCUAUAAGACUGGGAUAACUUCGGGAAACCGGAGCUAAUACCGGAUAAUAUAUUGAACCGAAUGGUUCAAUAGUGAAAGACGGUUUUGCUGUCACUUAUAGAUGGACCCGCGCCGCAUUAGCUAGUUGGUAAGGUAACGGCUUACCAAGGCGACGAUGCGUAGCCGACCUGAGAGGGUGAUCGGCCACACGGGAGCUGAGACGCGCUCCAGAAUCGGACGGGAGGCAGCGGUCGGAAAUCUACCGGAGGGGGCGAAAGCCUGACGGAGCAAAGCGGCGUGAGUGAUGAAGGUCUUCGGAUCGUAAAACGUUGUUAUAAGGGAAGAACAAAUGUGUAAGUAACGAUGAACGUAUGGACGGAACAUAAUAAGAAAGCCCCGGUUAAUUACUU